ACACUCCUACGGGAGGCAGCAGUGGGGAAUAUUGGACAAUGGGCGCAAGCCUGAUCCAGCCAUGCCGCGUGAGUGAUGAAGGACCUAGGGUUGUAAAGCUCUUUCACCGGUGAAGAUAAUGACGGUAACCGGAGAAGAAGCCCCGGCUAACUUCGUGCCAGCAGCCGCGGUAAUACGAAGGGGGCUAGCGUUGUUCGGAUUUACUGGGCGUAAAGCGCACGUAGGCGGACUAUUAAGUCAGGGGUGAAAUCCCGGGGCUCAACCCCGGAACUGCCUUUGAUACUGGUAGUCUUGAGUUCGAGAGAGGUGAGUGGAAUUCCGAGUGUAGAGGUGAAAUUCGUAGAUAUUCGGAGGAACACCAGUGGCGAAGGCGGCUCACUGGCUCGAUACUGACGCUGAGGUGCGAAAGCGUGGGGAGCAAACAGGAUUAGAAACCCCGGUAGUCCCA
This 448-nucleotide ribosomal RNA is filed under the name uncultured organism. RNAcentral describes it as "partial 16S ribosomal RNA". It matches the Rfam family "Bacterial small subunit ribosomal RNA", at positions 333 to 797 of the family's 1533-position model. The record is from RNAcentral.